This 1040-nucleotide ribosomal RNA is filed under the name marine bacterium HC-15. RNAcentral describes it as "bacterial SSU rRNA". It matches the Rfam family "Bacterial small subunit ribosomal RNA", at positions 47 to 1090 of the family's 1533-position model. The record is from RNAcentral.
CCUACCGUGCAGUCGAGGGGUAACAUUUGUGCUUGCACAAGAUGACGACCGGCGCACGGGUGCGGAACGCGUAUGGAACCUGCCCCUGUCAGGGGAAUAGCCCAGAGAAAUUUGGAUUAAUGCCCCAUGGUAACAUUAUAUCGCAUGAUAUUUUGUUUAAAGAUUUAUCGGACAGGGAUGGCCAUGCGUACCAUUAGUCAGAUGGUGAGGUAACGGCUCACCAUAACUACGAUGGUUAGGGGCCCUGAGAGGGGGAUCCCCCACACUGGUACUGAGACACGGACCAGACUCCUACGGGAGGCAGCAGUGAGGAAUAUUGGACAAUGGGCGGGAGCCUGAUCCAGCCAUGCCGCGUGCAGGAUGACUGCCCUAUGGGUUGUAAACUGCUUUUAUACGGGAAGAAACGCGCCUACGUGUAGGCGUUUGACGGUACCGUAAGAAUAAGGACCGGCUAACUCCGUGCCAGCAGCCGCGGUAAUACGGAGGGUCCGAGCGUUAUCCGGGAAUCAUUGGGUUUAAAGGGUCCGUAGGCGGGCCAUUAAGUCAGGGGUGAAAGUCUGCGGCUCAACCGUAGAACUGCCUUUGAUACUGGUGGUCUUGAGUCGUUGUGGAGUGGCCGGAACAUGUGGUGUAGCGGUGAAAUGCAUAGAUAUCACAUAGAACACCGAUCGCGAAGGCAGGUCACUAACAACGUACUGACGCUGAUGGACGAAAGCGUGGGUAGCGAACGGGAUUAGAUACCCCGGUAGUCCACGCCGUAAACGAUGGAUACUAGCUGUCGGGACCUCGGUCUCGGCGGCCAAGCGAAAGUGAUAAGUAUCCCACCUGGGGAGUACGUUCGCAAGAAUGAAACUCAAAGGAAUUGACGGGGGCCCGCACAAGCGGUGGAGCAUGUGGUUUAAUUCGAUGAUACGCGAGGAACCUUACCAGGGCUUAAAUGUAGUGGGACAGGCUUAGAGAUAGGCUUUUCUUCGGACUCAUUACAAGGUGCUGCAUGGUUGUCGUCAGCUCGUGCCGUGAGGUGUCAGGUUAAGUCCUAU